UACAGAGGGUGCAAGCGUUGCUCGGAAUCAUUGGGCGUAAAGGGUAGGUAGGUGGUCUCGUUUGUCUGGGGUGAAAGCCCAGGGCUUAACCCUGGAAGUGCCCCGGAAACGGCGAGACUGGAGUCUUGGAGAGGGUCGUGGAAUUCCCGGUGUAGCGGUGAAAUGCGUAGAGAUCGGGAGGAACACCAGAGGCGAAGGCGGCGACCUGGACAAGUACUGACACUCAACUACGAAAGCGUGGGGAGCAAACAGG
RNAcentral lists this ribosomal RNA (253 nucleotides) under uncultured bacterium. Its description in RNAcentral is "partial 16S ribosomal RNA". It matches the Rfam family "Bacterial small subunit ribosomal RNA", at positions 524 to 776 of the family's 1533-position model. The record is from RNAcentral.